Molecule: ribosomal RNA, 407 nt
Filed under: Frigoribacterium sp. VKM Ac-2530
Lineage: Bacteria; Bacillati; Actinomycetota; Actinomycetes; Micrococcales; Microbacteriaceae
Description: bacterial SSU rRNA
Rfam family: Bacterial small subunit ribosomal RNA
Source: RNAcentral
UUUACGGAGAGUUUGAUCCUGGCUCAGGACGAACGCUGGCGGCGUGCUUAACACAUGCAAGUCGAACGAUGAACUCCAGCUUGCUGGGGGGAUUAGUGGCGAACGGGUGAGUAACACGUGAGUAACCUGCCCUUGACUCUGGGAUAAGCGCUGGAAACGGCGUCUAAUACCGGAUACGAGCUUCAGCCGCAUGGCUAGGAGUUGGAAAGAAUUUCGGUCAAGGAUGGACUCGCGGCCUAUCAGCUAGUUGGUGAGGUAAUGGCUCACCAAGGCGACGACGGGUAGCCGGCCUGAGAGGGUGACCGGCCACACUGGGACUGAGACACGGCCCAGACUCCUACGGGAGGCAGCAGUGGGGAAUAUUGCACAAUGGGCGCAAGCCUGAUGCAGCAACGCCGCGUGAGGGA